AUGUACCAAGGGUGCGCUGCGGGUAGUGCGCGCCGUCCGCAUCCAGCUGACGUCUGCUCGCCAGGCGUUGUCAGCC
RNAcentral lists this small RNA (76 nucleotides) under Xanthomonas sp. 3058. Its description in RNAcentral is "sRNA sX9". It matches the Rfam family "Xanthomonas sRNA sX9". Lineage: Bacteria; Pseudomonadati; Pseudomonadota; Gammaproteobacteria; Lysobacterales; Lysobacteraceae. RNAcentral also lists the same sequence under 1 other name. The record is from RNAcentral.